Molecule: ribosomal RNA, 398 nt
Filed under: uncultured bacterium
Lineage: Bacteria
Description: partial 16S ribosomal RNA
Rfam family: Bacterial small subunit ribosomal RNA
Source: RNAcentral
AAUCUUGCGCAAUGGGCGAAAGCCUGACGCAGCCAUGCCGCGUGAAUGAUGAAGGGCUUAUGAUUGUAAAAUUCUUUCUCCGGGGACGAGAAUAACGGUACCCGGAGAAGAAGCCCCGGCUAACGUCGUUGCAGCAGCCGCGGUAAUACGAAGGGGGCUAGCGUUGCUCGGAAUUACUGGGCGUAAAGGGCGCGUAGGCGGACAUUUAAGUCAGGGGUGAAAUCCCAGAGCUCAACUCUGGAACUGCCUUUGAUACUGGGUGUCUUGAGUGUGAGAGAGGUAGGUGGAACUCCGAGUGUAGAGGUGAAAUUCGUAGAUAUUCGGAAGAACACAAGUGGCGAAGGCGACAUACUGGCUCAUUACUGACGCUGAGGCGCGAAAGCGUGGGGAGCAAACAG